This 1003-nucleotide long non-coding RNA is filed under the name Elaeis guineensis (African oil palm). Its description in RNAcentral is "long non-coding RNA (EGUI_LNC058886)". The record is from RNAcentral. Lineage: Eukaryota; Viridiplantae; Streptophyta; Magnoliopsida; Arecales; Arecaceae.
AUCACCGUGCGCAGCACGCACGCACACAGGGGUGUUUUAGAUAUCCUUCUAAGCAUCAGAUAAAUCUGAAAAAAUUUCAAAUAAAUAUCCAUUUAAAAUUAGAUUUAAAAAGAGAUAUAAUUUUAUUGAUCGCAUUCCAUUCAAAUCAAAUUUGAAAAAUAGAAGGACUCUCCAAAUGCGAGGAGUGACAUGAGUCAACUUUUGCAUGCGUGCCUCUGAUUCUUUCCAUCUUUCUAUGCCACAAAAUAUACAAAAUAUGAACAUCUCAAUCUUUGAGAUGUGUGCCAGAGGAUGGGGGGUGAUGUGGGCCACCACAUGUGUCUUAAAACCAAAUCAGAAGGACUUGUUCCUUCUGGUCACACCAAUAUGCACGUGCCCUUCAUUUUUGCACGUCUAGAGUCUAACCAAGCUUGGACUCUAGGUUGUGGUGCCCCAUAAGGCCAUGUGGUGCCAUCUAAUGUCUGCCACAUCUAGAUUUAAAUCUAAAUUAGCCCAUGACUUAAUUUGGUUAGAUCAAGAAGCAAGAUUCGAACCAAUUUCAAAUCCAAUUCAAAGAGCUAGGGUUUCCACAUGGGCUAGCAUGCUUAUCGAAAAUCCUAACUGGAUCCAAAACUCCAAUCAAUCUUGUCAAAAGGGUCCUUGAUUCUUUAUAUGUAUGACCCAUUGGGUUCCACAUCUAGCUAGUAGUAAAUCUAGAUGCAAGUUAAUCUAAUUUAAUUAGACUCUCUUCUAAUCGAUUAAGGUUCAAAAUGAGCUAAUCCGAGUUCAGCAAUUAUAACCCAUUCUCAUUAGCGAUUAAAUUAAACUCUUUACUUCGAUCAAGCCUACAAGUCAAGAUUGACGUCUAGUAACUAAAAGGAUAAUGCGCUACAAGCUAAUCACAUAUGGAAUGCGAUAGGAUAUUUAUUAUAAUUUAUCUUCUAGACUCAUGUAAUUGAUAUUUAUAUUAUUAAUAAAAUAAAUAUUUUUGAUUUAUUAUAUACUACAUCUUAUUAUUCUUAAG